RNAcentral lists this long non-coding RNA (258 nucleotides) under Salvia miltiorrhiza (redroot sage). RNAcentral describes it as "long non-coding RNA (SMIL_LNC012077)". Lineage: Eukaryota; Viridiplantae; Streptophyta; Magnoliopsida; Lamiales; Lamiaceae. The record is from RNAcentral.
UACUAUUUUUCAAAAUGCAAUGGAAUUAAUUGAAGGAAUUCAAGGAAACAAGUUGCCUUUGCUUCUCCGUAAUUAUAUCCUUCUACAAAAACAAUAUUCCAAAAUCUCACUAUAUUACAAUUACAUUUAAUUCUCAUUAUUAUAUUAGAAGAUAAUCAUUUUUUGUGAUCAAGAAUUUCGACUGCAUUUGGCUACUCAAACACGCACCUAAUUAGGCAAACUAAUAACUCCACAUAUAGAAAAAAAAUAAAAAAAAAA